RNAcentral lists this ribosomal RNA (253 nucleotides) under uncultured bacterium. RNAcentral describes it as "partial 16S ribosomal RNA". It matches the Rfam family "Bacterial small subunit ribosomal RNA", at positions 524 to 776 of the family's 1533-position model. The record is from RNAcentral.
UACGUAGGGUGCAAGCGUUGUCCGGGAUUAUUGGGCGUAAAGAGCGUGUAGGCGGCCCGAUUAGUCCGCUGUGAAAGUCCAGGGCUCAACCCUGGAAUGCCGGUGGAUACUGUCGGGCUAGAGUCCGGAAGGGGCGAGUGGAAUUCCUGGUGUAGCGGUGAAAUGCGCAGAUAUCAGGAGGAACACCAAUGGCGAAGGCAGCUCGCUGGGACGUGACUGACGCUGAGACGCGAAAGCGUGGGGAGCAAACAGG